This 472-nucleotide ribosomal RNA is filed under the name Kwoniella heveanensis. RNAcentral describes it as "partial 28S ribosomal RNA". It matches the Rfam family "Eukaryotic large subunit ribosomal RNA", at positions 187 to 648 of the family's 3401-position model. The record is from RNAcentral. Lineage: Eukaryota; Fungi; Basidiomycota; Tremellomycetes; Tremellales; Cryptococcaceae.
CCCUUGGAACAGGGUAUCAGAGAGGGUGACAAUCCCGUACUUGACACGACGACCGGUGCUCUGUGAUACGUUCUCUACGAGUCGAGUUGUUUGGGAAUGCAGCUCAAAAUGGGUGGUAAACUCCAUCUAAAGCUAAAUAUUGGUGGGAGACCGAUAGCGAACAAGUACCGUGAGGGAAAGAUGAAAAGCACUUUGGAAAGAGAGUUAAACAGUAUGUGAAAUUGUUGAAAGGGAAACGAUUGAAGUCAGUCGUGACCGUUGGGUUCAGCCGGUUCUGCCGGUCUACUCCCUUCGGUCGGGUCAACAUCGGUUUUGACCGGCGGAUAAGGAAGGGAGGAAUGUGGCACCCUCCGGGGUGUGUUAUAGCCUCUCGUCGCAUACGUCGGUCGAGACCGAGGAACGCAGCUCGCCUUUAUGGCCGGGGUUCGCCCACGUCCGAGCUUAGGAUGUUGACAUAAUGGCUUUAAACGAC